UGGCUCAGAACGAACGCUGGCGGCAGGCUUAACACAUGCAAGUCGAGCGGGCAUAGCAAUAUGUCAGCGGCAGACGGGUGAGUAACGCGUGGGAACGUACCUUUUGGUUCGGAACAACACAGGGAAACUUGUGCUAAUACCGGAUAAGCCCUUACGGGGAAAGAUUUAUCGCCGAAAGAUCGGCCCGCGUCUGAUUAGCUAGUUGGUGAGGUAAUGGCUCACCAAGGCGACGAUCAGUAGCUGGUCUGAGAGGAUGAUCAGCCACAUUGGGACUGAGACACGGCCCAAACUCCUACGGGAGGCAGCAGUGGGA
This 313-nucleotide ribosomal RNA is filed under the name Bradyrhizobium sp. QA11. Its description in RNAcentral is "bacterial SSU rRNA". It matches the Rfam family "Bacterial small subunit ribosomal RNA", at positions 20 to 359 of the family's 1533-position model. The record is from RNAcentral. Lineage: Bacteria; Pseudomonadati; Pseudomonadota; Alphaproteobacteria; Hyphomicrobiales; Nitrobacteraceae.